Long non-coding RNA from Nanorana parkeri, 100 nucleotides. RefSeq lists it as uncharacterized. Lineage: Eukaryota; Metazoa; Chordata; Amphibia; Anura; Dicroglossidae. The transcript is spliced from 3 exons. The record is from RefSeq and is a predicted model, not a curated record.
AGGCCAUUCCAUAGAUUAUACAUUUCUGAACUUCCUUGGACUGAAAAGGUCUUUGCACCAGUUUUACCCUCAUCUUGUGCUGAUAGUAAAUGGUUAAUUU